CCUACGGGAGGCAGCAGUGGGGAAUAUUGGGCAAUGGGCGCAAGCCUGACCCAGCAACGCCGCGUGAAGGAAGAAGGCUUUCGGGUUGUAAACUUCUUUUCUGAGGGACGAAGAAAGUGACGGUACCUGAGGAAUAAGCCACGGCUAACUACGUGCCAGCAGCCGCGGUAAGACGGAGGGGGCAAGCGUUAUUCGGAUUUAUUGGGUGUAAAGGGCGUGUAGGCGGGAAAGCAAGUCAGAUGGGAAAACUGAGGGCUCAACCCUGAGACUGCAUUUGAAACUGUUUUUCUUGAGUGCUGGAGAGGCAAUCGGAAUUCCGUGUGUAGCGGUGAAAUGCGUAGAUAUACGGAGGAACACCAGUGGCGAAGGCAGAUUGCUGGACAGUAACUGACGCUGAGGCACGAAAGCGUGGGGAGCAAACAGGAUUAGAUACCCUUGUAGUC
This 443-nucleotide ribosomal RNA is filed under the name uncultured bacterium. RNAcentral's name for it is "partial 16S ribosomal RNA". It matches the Rfam family "Bacterial small subunit ribosomal RNA", at positions 338 to 795 of the family's 1533-position model. The record is from RNAcentral.